This 1339-nucleotide long non-coding RNA is filed under the name Ficedula albicollis (Collared flycatcher). RNAcentral describes it as "lncRNA (ENSFALG00000024278.1)". Lineage: Eukaryota; Metazoa; Chordata; Aves; Passeriformes; Muscicapidae. The record is from RNAcentral.
CUUCCCUUCCCUUCCCUUCCCUUCCCUUCCCUUCCCUUCCCUUCCCUUCCCUUCCCUUCCCUUCCCUUCCCUUCCCUUCCCUUCCCUUCCCUUCCCUUCCCUUCCCUUCCUCCACUCAAACUCCCAGUUCCUGCAGAGCCCAGAGAGUGGAAGGCAGAUAACAAACUGCUGUUUAUAAGAUAACGCAAAAUUUUGGGGAUCUGAAAAGAGAAUUUCCUGCAGGACAAACAGAACAAGGAGAUGCAGGCAGGACACACUGCCCGGGGAUUCUGCACGGUGGGACAGAGCACAGCUGACUAGAGGUGGGGUUUAAGGAGGAAAUUCCUCCAGCAGAAUGUGCUGUUGAAGGCAGGUUGAUUUUUCACAUGGCUCUUAAUUGCAGUUAACAAAAAAAAAGAGUCAGAAGUCCCUGAUGAAGAACAGAUACAAAAGUGAUGUGUUGAAGUGAAGGGGACACAGAGUGGGAUUUCAGAGCCAAAGGCCAGCAAACCCUGUUGCCACAAGGAAAGAGAUAAACCUUGUGCCUCUUCUUGACUCUCCACCUCCUCCUGGGCAGUAACUUUGAGAGGGAAAUUUGGGCUUUUGGGUUCGAGAGUUUCACAGACAGAGGCAAAUGUGAGUGAUGCUCAGAUUCCCCCAGGAGAGUGCUGAAAGCAGAUCUGGGCUUUGUCAGCUGCCCUGGUCACUGGCCCAACAAAUUCAGAGUGCCUACUUGCUUCUGGGAUAGCCACUGCUACUGCAGGAAAAAUUAUAAAAAGCAGCUCCCAGGAAUGUGCAAUUUGUGCAGGUUGGGCAAAAAGUUUGGGAUGGUGAAGAGACCCCUGUGGCAGCUCCAGCUACACCAUCAUUUGCUGUGUGUUUGAGAAUAAGAAAUCCUCAUGAGAAGAAAUGGCAAAUUCUCUUGGCACGUGUGGUCCCUGUUCUACAGAAGGUGUUACCCUGGUUUUUGGAGGCUGUUUUGAGGUCUCAUCCUUCCCUGAGUAACAGAGGGUGCUGGGAGAGAGCAAACCCUACAUGGAUGAAGGGAAUCUUGAGUUACUAGAGCCCCUUCCAGGCUGUGAGUCAGCAGGUUUAUUUUAGAUCUUCAGAUGAGGCAGCUCUGUUUCCAUCCAUCCAUUGGGAAAUGAGUUUAAAUGACUGGGGGGAGGGAAAGGAGCUGAACCCCACUCUGGUUUUGUUUCUACUGGUCUUUUCCUUUUCUAAAGGAAAUAGACCUUUCCACACUGGUGGCUUGUUCUAGGCUCUUAAAUGCAUCAUAGAAAUAAAUAUAUUUAUAUUCAUGGCUUCAGUCAUUACUAUACUCAAUAUAUCAGCUCAGUGAGUAAUAACCUGGUUAGGG